UAAUACUUGCGGAGUAGAAAAGCGAUGGAAAAAUAUUUAAGUUACCAAAAAUAAACAAGAAUUAAAUAUAAUUAUUUAAAGAAUUGUAGAUGUAAUAUGUCACGACCCGGAACUCCCCAUCGAGCCCGUGACAACCGCCGCGAAGCCUCGACAAACAUUCUUCACCCCGAAUGUCGAUCGAAACCUCGCAAGGCUCUCGUAUCAGCUUUUGCAUCUUCCCGAUGAGCAACAGUUAUUAAAUCUCGCAUUUCAAGAAAUCAUAAGUUAUUUUCAACUCAAAACAAUAAAAUAUUAUUUUCUAGCUCAUAGGGGCAUUUUCGUAUUUUUUUUUCAAAAAUUCCGAAACUUGCCAAAAACAUGGUGUAAAAGCUAAAUAUAUUCAUACAUACUUUAAAUCAAAUAACUGAAAAAUAAAAUUACUUUUACAGUGACACGUGGGCCCCCAACUGACUAAGAAGAUGUUGGGCUACGAACCCUUACUUUCUAGGAUGCAACUCCGAGAUUAAUUCUUGUCUUAAUCAACUAUCAACAAAUUGUCCUGAGCCUGAAAAAUGGAUAGGAAGAGGAGUGAAAUUAUGAUUACAUAAUCCCAGUGAGUAAACAAUUACCAUCAAAAGCAUCUAAAGCCGAGUAGAUGGAGACAAUAUAAAAACAUUAUAUCUUAAUAAUGUUAAUAACACAAAAUUCGUUUCAAUCUAUACCAAACAAUUUCUUUUCAUCAAAAUUUCCCUGGCUUAUGAGUUUCUUAAACUUAGCCCCUGCCAGAAUCAUUCUCGCGGGUACCUUCGUCAAGGUAUCCCACUGAGACCGCCAAGGCUGUUCAAUGACCCGUACCCAUAAACAUGUUUUCACAUCUAACACACAGCCGUUCCUUGACGUUGGCUAAGUCUCACUCUCACGUGGUGGCCCGAACGUGAGGUGCACCCAAAUCAUACCUCAGGAGAUACUUCACCCAACAUCUCCCCCCGGAGGUAAAUAUAUAAUUGAGUUACCAUGCUCCUCUCAUAGGCAGUCCACGAAAAUCCCCACCACUGCAGUGACCGUUUAAUAUACCACCAGACCCAUAAAAAUUCCAAUAGCAUAAUAUGGCGAAUAAAAUGUAAUUCAAUCUACCGAGACCAAUCCCAAAAAUUUAGCCAUCAUGCUACCAUAGUGUCAUAAGCCCCAAUUUCAAUAACAUAUAAAAUCAUAAAUUUCAACACAGUCUCCAUAUACUCAAUUUUUCCAAAACAAUGUUUGAUUUCAAAACAGUAUAAAUCUCAUUUUUAUUAAAAAAAAAUUUUAAUUAGAAAACAUAAUAUUUAAUAAUUUAAGCUCACCAUUCAAUAAAAACAUCAAACACGUAUAAUUACUCUAGAUAUUUAAGACGAUAUAUUAUCCACUCACAGUUCUAGGAGUCGAUGUACUCUUAAUCCCAGUCUUCAAGCACAAUCUCUAUACUUUUACCAGUGUAAUUUGCUCACCA
This 1465-nucleotide long non-coding RNA is filed under the name Theobroma cacao (cacao). Its description in RNAcentral is "long non-coding RNA (TCAC_LNC006257)". The record is from RNAcentral. Lineage: Eukaryota; Viridiplantae; Streptophyta; Magnoliopsida; Malvales; Malvaceae.